Molecule: ribosomal RNA, 465 nt
Filed under: Vreelandella stevensii
Lineage: Bacteria; Pseudomonadati; Pseudomonadota; Gammaproteobacteria; Oceanospirillales; Halomonadaceae
Description: partial 16S ribosomal RNA
Rfam family: Bacterial small subunit ribosomal RNA
Source: RNAcentral
CCUACGGGUGGCUGCAGUGGGGAAUAUUGGACAAUGGGGGCAACCCUGAUCCAGCCAUGCCGCGUGUGUGAAGAAGGCCCUCGGGUUGUAAAGCACUUUCAGUGAGGAAGAACGCCUGGUGGUUAAUACCCAUCAGGAAAGACAUCACUCACAGAAGAAGCACCGGCUAACUCCGUGCCAGCAGCCGCGGUAAUACGGAGGGUGCGAGCGUUAAUCGGAAUUACUGGGCGUAAAGCGCGCGUAGGUGGCUUGAUAAGCCGGUUGUGAAAGCCCCGGGCUCAACCUGGGAACGGCAUCCGGAACUGUCAAGCUAGAGUGAAGGAGAGGAAGGUAGAAUUCCCGGUGUAGCGGUGAAAUGCGUAGAGAUCGGGAGGAAUACCAGUGGCGAAGGCGGCCUUCUGGACUGACACUGACACUGAGGUGCGAAAGCGUGGGUAGCAAACAGGAUUAGAUACCCCUGUAGUC